UGAGGAAUAUUGGUCAAUGGGCGGGAGCCUGAACCAGCCAAGUCGCGUGAAGGAAGAAGGAUCUAUGGUUCGUAAACUUCUUUUGCAGGGGAAUAAAGUGCGGGACGUGUCCUGUUUUGUAUGUACCCUGAGAAUAAGGAUCGGCUAACUCCGUGCCAGCAGCAGCGGUAAUACGGAGGAUCCGCGCGUUAUCCGGAUUUAUUGGGUUUAAAGGGUGCGUAGGUGGUUUGAUAAGUCAGCGGUGAAAGUUUGCAGCUUAACUGUAAAAAUGCCGUUGAAACUGUCGGACUUGAGUGUAAAAGAGGUAGGCGGAAUUCGUGGUGUAGCGGUGAAAUGCAUAGAUAUCACGCAGAACUCCGAUGGCGAAGGCAGCUUACUAAGCUACAACUGACACUGAAGCACGAAAGCGUGGGGAUCAAACA
This 422-nucleotide ribosomal RNA is filed under the name uncultured prokaryote. RNAcentral describes it as "bacterial SSU rRNA". It matches the Rfam family "Bacterial small subunit ribosomal RNA", at positions 355 to 774 of the family's 1533-position model. The record is from RNAcentral.